Molecule: long non-coding RNA, 8213 nt
Organism: Bacillus rossius redtenbacheri
Lineage: Eukaryota; Metazoa; Arthropoda; Insecta; Phasmatodea; Bacillidae
Exons: 3
Source: RefSeq, a predicted model, not a curated record
AUUUAAACGGUAGAAGUACGUACUUUCGAUUGUAGCGGCACGAUCACUGACGGCGUCUGCGUUUGGUUGAUGCAGGGAAUGAUUGGGUGGAAGACCGAAAUCGUAAUGCAGAUUUGCGGUGGCCUCAUAUUUGCAAACACAAGCAAUGGAUAUGGAUGACCGACCUAGGACCUGUGCCAAAUGGGAAGCAAUGCAUUUAUGGUUAAACUUAAUCAUGUUACGAUGUGGUUCAGGUUCCGUCACGAGUUUCGCGCUGCAUGAUGCAGUUAAGAUUGCGUCCAGUGAAUUUGCGAUCGCAAUUUGAGGUGUUAUUGCGUGAGAAAAUUGUGAAGGUCAUUUCCUUGACUGGGAUUUGUCGGGAAUAAGCAGGUUUGUCCCUAAAUGUUUGCGAGAAGGCAACUUGUGGAAGAAGUGGUACAUUUUUUAACGAACUUUAUGUAUGCAGGUAUUUGUGGUUAAAUGCAAAAGUAUGUUUUUAUUCUGCAUUUGAAUGUUCAAAAAGUGUUAAGAGGCAUUUUAAUUUGGCUUGGUUAAUGUUACACUUGGUGCAUUUUAAGAGUAUUUAUUUUUAAUGGUAUUGAUCUCGGUCUGAUUCUUAUAAUUAUAAAUAUACAUAAACUUGUAUAAAUGGGUUUUAGUUUAAUUUUUGGCUGUAAUUACCUAAUUUACAGAGAAGUUAAUGUACAUUAUGAAAGUGAAAAUGUUUUGAAAUUAAUAUAAAGAUGACAAAAAAUUACCAGUAAAAUAUUGUAAGAUGUCAUUUAUUAUGAUACCUUCAGUUCCUUCAGAAUUUAAAUGGAAAUGACUAUUUAUUGAAAGUCCAGCUGCCCAGUUUAAUAUGCGUACAUGUUAUUUUCAUCUAGUGUAAAUUCUGCUUCUUAAAAGGUCUGAAUGGCCAUUCACGGGAAACUGGUUGUAGAAGUUAUUAGCUCACUUUUAAACUGUUAACUGGUAGUUACUCCAAGAAAGUAAGAAAGUUAAUAGGUAGACUGCAGGGUGUCUAUUAGCAACUCCAAGAAAGUAAGAAAGUUAAUAGGUAGACUGCAGGGUGUCUAUUAGCAAUGUGGGUGAUACAGGUUUUUUGUUUUGAUAUUUCACUGUCUGAGCUACUGAUACUUAACAAUUCAGGAUGCAAGUUUAAGUUGCAUACACUGGUUUAUUUUGAGUAUAUGUACUUAAUCUCAGACUUGCAAACCAUGCAUUGUGUAAUGACAAAUGCAGGUCAAUGGCGGGAUUAGUUAAUGGAAUACCAUAGAUAAUGGAACACAAAGAUUUGAUAUUUAAUGUUGCCCUUUUACAAUGUAAAUUCAGUUUUUAUUGUCAAUAUAGGACUUUACAAAGAAAUAUGCCUGUGUGCAUAUGCUGAUUAAAUGACUUAGUGUAAAACUAAUUAAGAAACUUUUGCCAUUGUCUUCUGAAAAUUUUUAAUCAAUUGACCACUGAAAAUUUUUAAUCAAUUGACCACAUGUUGGAAUGUUGAGCAAGUGGUGUGUUAUGACUUAAUGCAUUAAUUGGUACAUUUCAUAGUUAUUGGUGAUAACACUAAGACACCUUUAAAUUUCAUGUCAUAUGGAAUCUUGGUGCCUUAUGGUGAGUUAACAUAAUAUAACUGACUGCUGCUCAUUGAAGUAAUUAUAUUAUGCAAAUUGACCUUUUCUCUCCCAAGACAAUUGGAAUGGUAGCAAUGUGUGUAUGGUUUAAGCUUUUAUGGCAUUUUUCUUGAUUUUAUGUAUAUGGUUUUUGAAUUUAAGAAAGCAUAGUUUGAUUAGUGUUUAUUAAGUAUUUAUAUUAGUAGACACCCUGGUUUUAAUAUCUGUAUUGUGUGGUUUAGUAUAACAGUGAUGCAAGGAGGAUAACAAUAUGGGAGGGUGUACUCUCUCCUGUUGGUUUUACUGGGCAGUGUUGGCAUUUUAGACAUUUCCAUGGCAUCCCUUACACUCUUACCAGGUUUAUUGGCUUCAAUUCUAGUGGCUGGCAACAUGAGUUUAGCUUUAAUUGGUGAAAUACAUAUUUAGGGUUUUACUUAGAUAAUUGCUCAUUGUUAAAGGUUGAUAUAUUUUGUUAGGUGGUAGUAUUUUUAUAUCAAGAAUACACUUAGUUUUUUGCCAAGUUAAACAGUGUAGUUUGGUACACACAAAGUUUUGAAGUCAUCUUAACCUGGUAUAAAUUAUAUAUACAUGUAAUAACAUAAACACAAUAAAAGAUAUUUUUUGGUAAGUAGUCUUUGAAGAUCAACUGCAGUUUCCAGUGUUACCAGUCACCUGUGUAGGUGUUAAGAGCACCUCAGCUUUGCAAGUAAUUUAAGGUAAACUCUUAUUUGAAUACCCACAGUAAAAUUUUUUAAGAUAGAAUUGACACCAUUUUUAUUAUAUUUAAUACAUUGUUUAGAUUCUUUGGUCAUAAAAAUCUAAAUCCUCAAUGUCAAAGUGUUCUAAAUUUUGCGUAUACAUUUGAGAAGCUUUGCUGGUAGGUAGGAUUUUUUGAAGGAAUUUCAAAAGUACAGUACUUAUUGUAAAAUGGCUAAGGUAAUGAAUAUUUUAGUUUUGAUAUCUACAUGACCACGAUGGUUAUCAAACAUUUUUCAUAUACAUAAUAGCUCAUUUUACAUGUGUAAGUGAAAAGGUUAGAGUAAUUUUUUUUACCAUCUUUUUUUUUUUUAGCCUUAAUACUUGAUGGUAUCAUAAACACUUUACAGAGCGAUAUAAUGGCAAUAAUAGCAACAAGUUCCAAAGAAAUUACAUUUUGUUCUGAACCUAAUGUUUUGGUUCUGUCAUGGAUAUAAAAAUAUAUCAAUUUUAAUUGUAAAUGGACUGCAAAUGUAUGUAGGGUUAUAAAAUGGGAUAAAUAAUUGAAAACAUACUUAAAAUCUUUACCAUGAGAAGAUUUUUGUGCUAAGUAAUAUAAUUUAGUGCAAAAACAUUUUUUUUAAUUUGUGCUGUUUGUGUGCAUUUUCAAAAAUUCUUAAAAUUUUUUUUUUUUGAAUUUUACACUAAUGAGUUGAACAAUUUAAAGGAUUAAAUUUAACUGUCUAAGUUUUAAGUUUUUAAAGCAUUUUAUUGAAUAUAUUCUGUGCAUAAUGAUUUUAAGUUUUUCAAGUUCAGUUUAUUUUAGUGGAUAUAUGCUUGCUAGGGAAUGCUUCUUGCCAAUUCAUUGGUGGUAAAAACUAAACAUAAUACCAGUGUUCAGUAACAACACAAAUGCUGCUGAAAGAUUUAGGUUUAAAAAAUUCAAAUGUUGAAUUCAUGUUCAACAAUUUCAAUACUACAGCAACAAGGAAACAUUUACUUGUGAUUUUUUUUUUAUCCUACAAGUGUGUUAAGUGAUCAGCAAUUUUAAUAUAUAUGCUGCCAGUUUUAAGCAAGUUUAUAUAUGUUUGAAAUUUUUUUUAAAAUAGAAGUAACUACAUGUCACUGUAUGCCAUAAGUUACGAAAUUUACUUCAAAACGGUAAGAAUUACCAAUGUUUUAUAAAUUUCAAGUGCAAAAACUUGUAAAUAGUAAUGUCCUUCAGAAGUUGUGAAACUGUUACAAAUGAUACCAUUGUUUAGUUUUGGAAAGUUAUGCUGUUAAUAGUAGGUCUCAUGACCUUGACGUCUUUCUAUGGUCAAAGCCGACAAAAAUUCCCCACUUGCAGGCUGUAGAGUGUCGCACAGCUGCCCGAAACAAGCUGUUUACACUUGCUUCCCCAAAAACAGAUUCCCUCCUUCCCCCUUAAGCAUGCAUUGUGAGAUUCCAGAAAUUUAUCCAACAUGUUAUUAAAAAUUCUUUCCGAAAAGCAACCAACCACUUAAACUUAACUUUCUGCAGUUUAGUAAAUUCAAUUGCAAUCAUAAAACAGACUAUGGCUGUUGUGAGAAAUUUGAACAUGCCUUAUACACAUUUGAAACCUUUCUGAAGUCCAUAUGCUUCCUAACAAUUAUUUAAAAAAUAUAUUUUAUACUUACGAAUAUUCUUAAAAAUGCUGAUUACGUUACCAGGCCAAAUAAUAAAAAAUAGUGUAACACCAUAUAAAAUACUACAAUUUUAAUGAUGCUCUUGCAUCAGUAAGGCCUCAAUUAUAAAUUUCAAGUUCAAUUUUAAGCACUUUCUUGCACCUUCCUGAACUUAUUUUAUUUGCAAUUUGUAAUAGUUUUGUUAAUUCAAAGUUUGUGCAUCAGCCAUUCCAAAGUAACGGACGUGACAAUCACAUACUAAAUAUUUGAAAUAUUCAUUAAACUUCUUUAUUAAAUGACAUUAACACAUUCAUGCAAUAUUUUUUUUCAAGAUUUAACUACCUAUUCUUAAAAUGUUAAAACUUAAACAGUCUGUUGUGCCACAAUAUUUAAUUACAGAUGGUAACAGAUGAAACUUUACACCUUGGACUGCUUAAAGUGUGAUCUCUGUGAUUCUAUUCAAAACAGGCAAACCUAAAUUUUGUUACAUAUUGAAGAUUUAGGCAAGCAACUGUUACAAUUCUAUUAAGAAAAUAUCCGAGUAACUGAUGUGACGGCAUAGUAAGGGAUGUGACUCAUAUUCUCUUCAUGCUUUACUUUUUGUAAUAAAAUUCUUAAUAUUUAUCAAAUUAAAUGAAAUUAAUAUAUUAAAGAAUAAAAAUGUAUUCUAAAGAAAUACACACUUUCUUAACUACACUAGCAGAUAUAUACACUAUUAGACACAAACUCUUAUUAAUCCAUUUAAAACUUACAUUCAGCUAACACACAACAUUUACUUUUCAUAUAUAUCUAACAAAGGUACUUGAAAGUGGUAUAGGAUACAAUUUCCGACAGCCUUCAUUUGUGGUGGAGGAACAAUUUUUUUUAUCUGUUCAAAUUGUAUUUAUUUGACAUGUUCAUCCAUUGUAAACAAUGUUUUGUCAGUUCCAUACGUUUUCAUGAACAUAAUUAUAACUUCACCAUCCUCUUCACAAACAUUGCUUUGACAAACCCCUAGGUAUGUGUAGGACACUCUUUUUCGGUCACUUAAUAAUUCCACAACAUAUGCAUCAGGUUUAAUGUUCACUGAUGUCACAUCAUAAACAGAUCACCUGGGAUGUACAGUAAACUCUCGAUUAUCCGGGCCUGGAUUAUCCGGUUUUCGGGUUAUCCGUGCUUGAUUUUUUUUGAAGUUGUAAAAAAAAUGACGGGUGUAGCUUUUUUUUUUUUUUUUUACUGCUGUCAGAAAGCUAUUUACCUGACCCUUCAGACCCUCGUUCCCCGCCACCUUCACCCAUCAAUUUGUCACACUUUAAACAAAAAGGAAUGCCUUGACUGCUGCUUCCGGCUCAACUCCCCCCCCCCCCCCCCCCUUUUUUUUUCAUUUUAUUUUCAAGCGUUCUUUUCACAGUGCCCUGCCACGCUAAAAAAAAAAAGUCCCUCUACCUCUUUUACCUUCCCACACUCCUGACCGCUGGAAGAGGCAUUUUUCACGCAGUUAUUUACAUCAGUUCUCCCAGGCACAUUUGUUUUUUGUAAUCAUGUAUGGUAAAAGGAAACGUAAAGUGCUGACAAUAGCAGAGAAGUUAGAAGUUGUGGACAGGUUAAAAAAAAGGAGAAACUGCCACGAAAUUAGCACAGGAAUAUGAAAUUGGAAUCCAAACCGUGCGAGACAUUAAUAAAAGUGAAGAAAAACUUUUGCAGUUUGCUAGUAGAUCAGACAGUGUGGCAGGGCCUUCUAAACGUAAAAGCAUGAAAACAUCUACCCACCCAGAUGUUCACAAUGCUUUGUAUGUUUGGUUUAGGUCGUUAAAAUGGUGGAGGGAGUUACUGAGUUGGGACUGCCGCUCUCCCUCCCCCCUCCCGUAGCAAUAAAGGGGACGGGAGAAGGGGGAGAAGGAUGGCGGCAACACAGUGCCUGUAUUGUUUACGGUCCAAUAAGCUGGGACACGGUAUAGAAGCCUUUGCUUGUACUCAUAGAAUUCUACUGAAGAGAGACUUUUUUGCCAGUAAAUACACCAUUUUUAAGUGGUGAAACGGAUUAUCCAGUUUUUUUUUAUGGGCAUUCAAUUAUCGGGGCAUCGGAAGGUCCCAAUUAACACGGAUAAUCAAGAGUUUACUGUACUUGCCUGCUGUUUUUCAUCUUCAGAAUCACUAUAUACAUCUUCAACUUGUAGUUUUACACAUUUUUCCACACCUUCAAAAACUUAAGUUCUUAACAGUUCAGACUUAGCUGUAGGGCUCACAAAAAUAUGGUUACUGUCUCAUGGUUUGAAGUGAUGCAUUGAAUGCAAGCCUUUCACGUCUAAAACAGUUGACCAUCACUCAUCCAAAAGCUUUCUGUUUUCUUAAUUGUCAUCCAUUGUUGCAUAAAAACUGUACUUUUUUUUUGCUUUCUUUGGCUCUCGGGUAAUAUUGGAAUGCAGAAUUGAUAUUUACGUCCUUCGACAACACCAUUCUCCAAAUUACCUAAUGCCCCUCCAACACCAUCCACCGCACCUUUGCUAUGGUAUGCAGCAAAUGUGUUCCACUCGACUGUAAAACCUAAAUCUUCUUCCAGGAAAGUUAAAUAUGACAUGGUGUAUUUACUGCGGGAUUAUGAUUUUGCAUUAUCAGAAAUUAUGACCAAAUUUUUCACAUUAGGAAAUUCUAAUUUCACUGCAUUACUAAUUACUUAAAGGAAGGUCCAUACUGAUAUUUUGAAUGUCUUAAAUCAUCACUAAUUACAACAAACGAUUUCACUUCAGUACCUUUCCAUACACAACGUGUAAACAAUGUCACUUGUCAUUGUUUCCAAUGGGCACUUUGUAUUUGAUUUUGGGCAGUCAGUGUUGCACUGCAAAAUCAAUUGCACCACAGCAUCACUUACACUACCUCACACCUUACUUUCUUCAAAGUAUUCAUUUUGCAACACUUUCACAAGACAAUGAGUUUUGAGAAGAGGCAACUGGUGAUUCAAUUCUGCUAGUAUGUCCUUCACACUGUUUUCUUUCUCUGUUACUUGAAGAAAACCUCAAACAUUUUCCCACUUCUUUGUUUUCAAUUUUACAUUUAAGUCUAUGCCUGGCUGCAGUAAUCUUGUCACAUCAUAUUCACAACUCUCACAUUUAUGAAACAUGCAGUCUUCAUUUCUUUCAUUGCAACACACUGCAUUCAGUAGGGUUUUGUAAGUGACAGGAAAAUUUGGUAAGUGUGAAACAGACUGUACCAAAAAUGAAAAAUUUAAAUGCUUCUUGCAUACACAGAAUGUGGUGUCUUGCUAGCAGGGAGAAUAAACUUUGGUCUGAGGAGAAAAAAUUUGGUCCUUGAUAUCUUCACAUUGGGAUAUUUCUCUGUGAAGUCUGCAUAAGCUUCACUAAUAUUCAUCAACAUGUGACGGAUUGGUAUUUGUUGUCUGAAUCCUGUAACCUUGUCUUUGAUUUGACAUCUCUUUUCCCAGGAGCUUGUCUGCUUAUUUCAUCAUGGCUGUAGAAUUCGUUUAGUCUCAAUAUUUUCAUCUGAUGUUCUUCUUUCCCUCACAUCUUUUUUGAAAAGUUUUUCACAAAUUUCGAGUUUAAAAGUAGCUUUUACAAUUUCUUGAAUUACUUGCCUUCGUUUCUUGGGACUUCUGGGCAAGGCCUGAAAUGCCUUCUUGACCGCUUUUCCUAGUGUUGAGGACAACUGUAUGUGCCCAAUCGUGACUUAACAGGGGAACAUAAAUGUGGAACCAACACUGACUGCUUGCUUAACUGUUUCCAAUUUUCAGAUUUAGUACAGGCAGAAAAUAUAAUUUACUAUAAUCGCUCUGACUUUUCCAAUUCGUAAGACAAGUUAUUCAUCACAUUUAGUCAGCAAGGAAAAUGUAGGAAAAUACGGGAACCAUUCUACACAUGUUGAAACUCUUAGAUUUAAGUUAUUGGGAAUGGAAAAUACAGAAAUGGAUGGAUUUUAGCAUUACUAAGUAUCUUUCUGUGAAAGGGACAGCUAUGUUGAGUAAUCAACUUUACUUGACUCCAUCAUGUAAGUUUCCAGAGGCAUCCCCAUGCACGUGUACGUUACUCAUCGUAAUAGUUUACCGCAGACAAUUCGGACCUCUCUCUGCUCUCUAAGCCGGCAAAAUUACAAGUCACAAGUCCAUGAUAGUUAACCUACAGAAAACUCUGCCGCUGCUUGUUUGUUACUUGUCAGUCUUCGGACUCAUCGGCUCGUUCUGGAAACAACUGAAUUGGGAAUAAUUAGCAAACGUGCAGGGCAAGUCAUAUUAAAGUAAAACAAUAGAAAAUAUUUAAAAAUUGCAAUAAAGAAUCAUUAACCAAAAAAAAAA